Taeniopygia guttata (zebra finch) is the source of this 2603-nucleotide non-coding RNA. Lineage: Eukaryota; Metazoa; Chordata; Aves; Passeriformes; Estrildidae. The record is from RefSeq and is a predicted model, not a curated record.
ACCGCCGCCUCCGUCAGCGCAGCGAUUGCAUCAGACUGCGGCGCUUGCCAAGAGGCGAACGAGCCGGAUCACGGGCCACCGGCACCGCAGCUCGACCUUCACCACUCCUCCUCCCCGGUAUUAGUUUUUUCCCCUCUUCACCCCCUUUUCUGCACCCCUGCAGUGUAGCUGUGGUGGUAAAAGUAACGCCGGACUUACUCCGCCAGGAGCAUUUUUCUCGUUCCAGCUGUUCUCCCUGAGGGUUUUCCAGGAAAGCAUCGGCAUCCCACAACAGCCAAGGUAAAUCUGCUGCAUGGGGUAAAUCUUCGCCCCGAGGUAAAUCCCAUCUGCCCCACGGGGUAAAUCAUCUCAUCAGCCCCCUGAGGGGUUUCAAAGAAAGCACUGGCAACUGACGACCCAGUCCAGGGAGCCAGUGAGGUCUGAGCAAGGCUUGUGCCAGAGUCUGGGAAUGUCGGGGUAGCUGCUCUGGGCAAGAUGCCGGGAUCCAUCCACCACGGGGGAGGAGGUAACGACCCUGGGAGGCUUCUUGGGAACUAGAACCGAACCUGCAGCCUGCCGAGCCCCGACAACCCCUGGCCUCGGGAAUCCCCUGCCCUGAUCCCUGAGAGGGGACAGGGGCACGGUCCACCUCCACUCCCUGGGGACUGGAGUCCCCCUCCACCUCCCCAGUGUCGUUUCCAUCCAAAAAGCCCCAGCAGGACUGUUUUUUUCCCACCCCAUCAGUGCCUAGCCCCACUUCUCCCAGUAACUCCAGUCCCAAAGUAGGCUCAUUAGUGCUCCCACGAGUCCAGGAUUUCCAUCACCAUUAUUUCUGAUGAGGGACCCCUUAGGACCUGGGACGGAGUGCUCACACUGCAAGAAGCUCCACCUUCCAGGUACCGAGACUCAUCCCUGUCCCCUGGCUCAUGCCCAGGAUGCUUUUCCCACCCAUCCCACUUAAUUCCCUUUGGCACAUCAACACUGGCACACAGCUGGAGGACCAUGACACCGGGGUGAAUGUGGGGACACUCACCCGUAACCCCCCUCUUGCCUUUUCCUUCAGAGCCAAAAGCCAGUGGAGAUGGCAAAAGCUUAUUUUUAGCUGUGACCAUAACAGCAGUUCUGUUCCCAGAUGCAGUGGUUUCUGGAUGGACACCUUCACCUGCCUCUCACCAUGCCCGGACAGCCCGUAUCACUGCAUCCUACCCCGCCCAGAGGUGCGGAGGAUACCCUGCCCCGGGGACAUCGAGCUGGGAGGAGGGAGGAAAGUUCCCAGGGGCUGGUGAUCCAGUUGUACCAGGUGGUGCUUUUUGGAAGCUCCACGUGCUGCUUUUCUCUGUGGAAAUGCCCAUGGACAAGACACGUUUGGCAGGUGCCAGCUGCACCCCAAGCUCCUGUUUUCUGUCAUUGGGAUAGAGGCUGAAGCCAGUGUGUGUGGGUGAAGCUUUGUAUGACUGUGCUCCGAGACCCUUGUGUCUUCUUCCUCCUCCUCUUCCCAUUAUGCAGCCCUUAACCCAGUGCCCCUGGAUGCUGCAGCACCCUAGGGACACCCCAAUGCCACGGGGCAGAACCCACAUCAUGCCUGGCUAAGCCCAUGGCAGCAAAACCAGAGCCCAGCACAGGGAAUAAAGAUGAUGGUGCUACAGGUGGGGGUGAAGUCAAUUUAACUUCAUCCUAGGCAGGCCAGCACCUUCCCCAGGGAGCAUGAUCUGGCUCCACAGCUGAGCCAGCCCGGGGUCACAUCUGUUCUGCACCUAGGCCAAAGGGAAACCGCAGCAUUACCCAAGGGAAGGGAAAAGCAUUUUUGCUCCCAACACCUCUUCCCUGCAGUGUUGACUCCAAGGAGAUCAGGCCAAGCAGGGACUGCUCUCUCAAUACUACCUGGGGCAGCAAAAGCAGUCCAGAAACUCCUCUACCCCUAUGGAGUAUAUCCUGGCGGAGCAGCAUCACCCCUUCCAGCGCAGCAGCUCAAAUCCAGCAUCAGGGCACCUAGCAGCUCAUUUCCACAUGGCUAAAAGUGGAAAAAAGUGUAUUUUUCCCUUCUUCCCAGGGCUCCAGCUACACCUCUAGAUGGUCCCCGGGGCUCAGCAUCUCGUCUUCACUCCUUCCAUAUCAGAUGAGCACAGCAGCACACAAAAUAGCUGGCAGCCCAGGGUUAAUUCCUCCCAUACCUGAGCUGACAUUUCUAUUACACAAUUAUGGAGAUUCCUACAGUAACCCUAGAAGUUCUCAUCGAAGUCUGGGAGGCUCCCACUGCCCAGGGGGUUUUCCCACUCAGAGGUGCACCCCAGCUCCCUCCAUCCCAGUGAUGAAGGAUAAAAACCAAUCAAAAUUAUAUUGACUUUUAUUAUGCAAAAAUGGUAACUUUUAUAAAAAGUUUAUAAAGCAAGUACAAGACAUGUUCGCAGAAAAUCACCUUCCUGCACAAAAGGUACAAAAAGUUAUACUCUAGUAUAGAGCUCCACAAUACACGAGGCCACAGCCCCAGAGUUUAGUUCAUAAUCGAGGAUGUUUGUCCCCCCGCCCCAAAACCCCCUAAAUCCCACCCCGCCAUCUCAUUAAACACCUUUAAAAAAAAGGACUCGCUGCUAUAAUCCAAAAAUAUACAGACAACCUGCGCUUCA